UGGGGAAUAUUGGACAAUGGGCGCAAGCCUGAUCCAGCCCUGCCGCGUGAGUGACGAAGGCCUUAGGGUUGUAAAGCACUUUUGGCAGGGAUGAAAAGCACUGGAUUAAUAACCCAGUGUGUUGACCUAACCUGCAGAAGAAGCACCGGCUAACUCUGUGCCAGCAGCCGCGGUAAUACAGAGGGUGCAAACGUUGUUCGGAAUUACUGGGCGUAAAGCGAGUGUAGGCGGUUUGGUAAGUCGGAUGUGAAAGCCCCGGGCUCAACCCGGGAAGUGCACUCGAUACUGCCAAGCUAGAGUAUCGGAGAGGUUGGUGGAAUUCUCGGUGUAGAGGUGAAAUUCGUAGAUAUCGAGAGGAACACCGGUGGCGAAGGCGGCCAACUGGACGAAUACUGACGCUGAGACUCGAAAGCGUGGGGAGCAAACAGGAUUAGAUACCCCCGUAGUCCCUGAGCGGGCUGGCAAGGCGCAU
Molecule: ribosomal RNA, 472 nt
Filed under: uncultured bacterium
Lineage: Bacteria
Description: bacterial SSU rRNA
Rfam family: Bacterial small subunit ribosomal RNA
Source: RNAcentral